Populus nigra (black poplar) is the source of this 543-nucleotide long non-coding RNA. RefSeq lists it as uncharacterized. The record is from RefSeq and is a predicted model, not a curated record. Lineage: Eukaryota; Viridiplantae; Streptophyta; Magnoliopsida; Malpighiales; Salicaceae. The transcript has 2 exons.
UGUUGAUUGGGCACCCUACCCUAGCUAGCUAGCUCUUCCUUCAACUAUGCAGGGAUCAGCUAUUAAGAUGUACCAAAUAAAAAUAAGAGCAAGGCUUGCUUUUCGCAGUUUGCGUACCAUUGCCACCGAUAAAAAAGAAAAGCAAGAACAAAUCCCCGGGCAGAGGUAACUUUACAGCCUUUAUCUCAUUCAGUCCCUCCACUCUUUAAAUUCUCUUAAUAUGGUUUUUCUAGUUUUAUUUUUAUUAUUUUCAUCCCUGUACUUUUGGUCUGUUGAAAUGUAGUCCCUCUGUCACUAAUAAUGUUAUCUUACAUUAAUUCAAGUCAAAUCCUCUUAUUUUAAUCUCGAAUUAUCUGGAAAGGAAAGGCAUUAGAUCGAGGUGGAGGGAGCACAUGCUCGACGGGCCAAGAGUAGAAGGACAUGUUUUAAUAGCAGAACAGACGAUUUACUCAUUGACCCAAUCUAAUUGUAUUUUUGUUUUAUCGAAUUUACCUGUCGUGGAAUAAUUUUUCAAGACAAUAAUCAUGAAAGAAGUAUUUUUUU